UAUUUCUAGAAAUACGUAUUUGUUCUGUAAAAUAUUGCAUAUAUCUCCAGACUUGAGGCUUGUCUUGUCACAUGCUUUAAGGCAUCUUAGGAUGAGGAAAAGUUCCUGAUUUAGUUCAAUCACAUUUAUCUCUCUACUUUAUCAUAUACGGAGAUUUGUUUUUUUCUAAGUCCAUCCUGCCCCUUUGCUGAUAUCUUGGAUCCAGUCACAAAGACUUGAGUGAGUCCUUCACUGAAGCAUUUCCAUUCCUGUGUCUUCUCUACCCCAUGGAGAAAUGAGCCUGCCUGUUCCAUUUAUCAUAAAAGUCCUUAUUCAAUCAAAAAUAAAACACAAUCAUUGGAUUGGAUUAAUUAGGGUUCAAGAAGGCAGGAAUCCCUGGCAAUGGCUGGAUGGCUCACCCCUAUCUCAGCAGCUGAAUUUCCAACAGAGUUUAUCUCCUGUGAAAUGUGGACACAUGAGACCAUCAACAAUUUAUACCGCUGACUGUAGUAACCAUUCCGUUUUACAUGUGCAAGGAGUUCUUCCGGCCCUGAUAAUUAAAGAAGUGCUGUGAUCAAAUAUUUCAGCUAUUUUCAUUCUUUAACAGCUGUAAGGAAAAACCACAGGGUAUUGCACUCAAAUUAGUCAACUACGCGUGGUGUAUGAAGGAUUAUGAUCUUUCACACAUCCCUCAGCAUGGAUAAAAGAGUAAGUUUUAGAAAUAGUAAAAUCAGCCAUCCAAAAAUGAAGCUUUUUUUUUUUGAAAUUUCAAGAACCAUUCCAUCAGAGAAUGUGAAAAAAGUUUGAGUGUAAGACUUUACAUUUAAAAUAUAACUAAAUGAUCUUGAUUUAGAUAGGUAGUGAAUACAUUUGCAAUGUUCACAGUGUAAGAGGUCCUAAACGAUGAACACAUCCUCUCAACCCAUCUUGUAUUCUGUUCACCUAGUUGCCACCUCAGAAGCACACAUGUAACUGGUUUAUAUAGUAUUCCAGAGGUAUUCUAGUAAAGUACAAGUAUACACAGGCCGUCUGCUAAACAAAAUGUUAUGUGGCUACAAACGACAGUAACGAUCCUUUAUGUUUCUGUUGAAAAUGUACCAUGCGUGUGUUCCAUAUCAGUACAUAGGUAGCUGUAUUACUUUGUAUAAAUUUCUGCAAAUGUCACACUGAUAAACGUUUUAUUUCCAAUGGACGUCUAGGUUUGUCCCAGAAUUUUAGAAUUGUGUGAAUGAAAGCACUUAAUACAGUAUUACUUGCCAUAGAGCGUAUACAUAGGGUAAAUGUCUAGCAGUGUCAUUUCUAUGUCAAAAUGUGUUCCACAUGAAAAUUUGCAUACACGUUGAAUUUACAAUAAUUGCUCUACAUCUCUAUCUGCAGUCAGCAGCAUUCAAGAAUUCCUGCUUCCUCUCUUGGUUCCCACUGCCAACGUGUUAUCAGUCUGUGAUUUUGCCAAUAAAAUCUUUAGCAAUUAAAAAA
This 1455-nucleotide long non-coding RNA is filed under the name Felis catus (domestic cat). RNAcentral describes it as "lncRNA (ENSFCAG00000049650.1)". Lineage: Eukaryota; Metazoa; Chordata; Mammalia; Carnivora; Felidae. The record is from RNAcentral.